Molecule: ribosomal RNA, 301 nt
Filed under: uncultured bacterium
Lineage: Bacteria
Description: partial 16S ribosomal RNA
Rfam family: Bacterial small subunit ribosomal RNA
Source: RNAcentral
CAGUCGCCACGGGAAUACGUAGGGUGCGAGCGUUAAUCGGAAUUACUGGGCGUAAAGCGUGCGCAGGCGGUUCGUUAAGACAGAUGUGAAAUCCCCGGGCUCAACCUGGGAACUGCAUUUGAGACUGUAUGGCUAGAGUGUGUCAGAGGGGGGUAGAAUUCCACGUGUAGCAGUGGAAUGCGUAGGUAUGUGGAGGAAUACCGAUGGCGAAGGCAGCCCCCUGGGAUAACACUGACGCUCAUGCACGAAAGCGUGGGGAGCAAACAGGAUUAGAGACCCCAGUAGUCCCUGUCUCUUAUAC